AUACUUACCUGGACGGGGCUCGACGGCUGAUCAAGAAGAGCUGUGGCCUAGGCUAGUGGUCCACAUUGCACUUGGUGGAUGUGCUGGCUUACCAUCUUCCCAAGUGGGAGAGUGGACGUCAUAAUUUGUCAUAAUUUGUGAUAGAGGGGGUACGCGUUCGUGCGGCCCUGCC
Molecule: small nuclear RNA, 172 nt
Filed under: Aegilops tauschii subsp. strangulata
Lineage: Eukaryota; Viridiplantae; Streptophyta; Magnoliopsida; Poales; Poaceae
Description: snRNA U1
Rfam family: U1 spliceosomal RNA
About the family: U1 is a small nuclear RNA (snRNA) component of the spliceosome (involved in pre-mRNA splicing). Its 5' end forms complementary base pairs with the 5' splice junction, thus defining the 5' donor site of an intron.
Source: Rfam by way of RNAcentral